RNAcentral lists this ribosomal RNA (253 nucleotides) under uncultured bacterium. RNAcentral's name for it is "partial 16S ribosomal RNA". It matches the Rfam family "Bacterial small subunit ribosomal RNA", at positions 524 to 776 of the family's 1533-position model. The record is from RNAcentral.
UACGUAGGGUGCGAGCGUUAAUCGGAAUUACUGGGCGUAAAGUGUGCGCAGGCGGCUCUGCAAGUCGAGUGUGAAAUCCCCGAGCUUAACUUGGGAAUGGCGCUCGAAACUACGGAGCUCGAGUAUGGCAGAGGGAGGUGGAAUUCCACGUGUAGCGGUGAAAUGCGUAGAGAUGUGGAGGAACACCAAUGGCGAAGGCAGCCUCCUGGGCCAAUACUGACGCUCAUGCACGAAAGCGUGGGGAGCAAACAGG